UACGUAGGGGGCAAGCGUUGUCCGGAAUCAUUGGGCGUAAAGCGCGUGUAGGCGGUUCGGUAAGUCGGCUGUGAAAGUCCAGGGCUCAACCCUGGGAUGCCGGUCGAUACUGCCGGACUAGAGUUCGGAAGAGGCGAGUGGAAUUCCUGGUGUAGCGGUGGAAUGCGCAGAUAUCAGGAGGAACACCAAUAGCGAAGGCAGCUCGCUGGGACGUUACUGACGCUAAGGCGCGAAAGCGUGGGGAGCGAACAGG
RNAcentral lists this ribosomal RNA (253 nucleotides) under uncultured bacterium. RNAcentral's name for it is "partial 16S ribosomal RNA". It matches the Rfam family "Bacterial small subunit ribosomal RNA", at positions 524 to 776 of the family's 1533-position model. The record is from RNAcentral.